Molecule: ribosomal RNA, 495 nt
Filed under: Oceanobacillus sp. EF2C-B482
Lineage: Bacteria; Bacillati; Bacillota; Bacilli; Caryophanales; Bacillaceae
Description: bacterial SSU rRNA
Rfam family: Bacterial small subunit ribosomal RNA
Source: RNAcentral
AGUUUGAUCCUGGCUCAGGACGAACGCUGGCGGCGUGCCUAAUACAUGCAAGUCGAGCGCAGGAAGCAAGUUGAUCCCCUUCGGGGGUGACGCUUGUGGAAUGAGCGGCGGACGGGUGAGUAACACGUGGGCAACCUGCCUGUAAGACUGGGAUAACCCCGGGAAACCGGGGCUAAUACCGGAUAAUACUUUCUUUUGCAUAAAGGAAAGUUGAAAGGCGGCUUCGGCUGUCACUUACAGAUGGGCCCGCGGCGCAUUAGCUAGUUGGUGAGGUAACGGCUCACCAAGGCGACGAUGCGUAGCCGACCUGAGAGGGUGAUCGGCCACACUGGGACUGAGACACGGCCCAGACUCCUACGGGAGGCAGCAGUAGGGAAUCUUCCGCAAUGGACGAAAGUCUGACGGAGCAACGCCGCGUGAGUGAUGAAGGUUUUCGGAUCGUAAAACUCUGUUGUUAGGGAAGAACAAGUACGAUAGUAACUGAUCGUACCUGAC